This 253-nucleotide unclassified non-coding RNA is filed under the name uncultured Planctomycetales bacterium. RNAcentral's name for it is "contains 16S-23S intergenic spacer region". It matches the Rfam family "Bacterial small subunit ribosomal RNA", at positions 524 to 776 of the family's 1533-position model. Lineage: Bacteria; Pseudomonadati; Planctomycetota; Planctomycetia; Planctomycetales. The record is from RNAcentral.
UACGUACUGGGCGAACGUUAUUCGGAAUCACUGGGCUUAAAGGGUGCGUAUGCGGCCACUUAAGUAGGGUGUGAAAUCCCCCGGCUUAACCGGGGAACUGCGCUCUAAACUGGGGGGCUUGAGUGCGAUAGGGGUGUGCGGAACUUCCAGUGGAGCGGUGAAAUGUUUUGAUAUUGGAAGGAACACCAGAGGCGAAAGCGGCAUGCUGGGGCUAUUCUGACGCGGAGGCACGAAAGCCAGGGGAGCGAACGGG